RNAcentral lists this ribosomal RNA (467 nucleotides) under uncultured bacterium. Its description in RNAcentral is "partial 16S ribosomal RNA". It matches the Rfam family "Bacterial small subunit ribosomal RNA", at positions 28 to 507 of the family's 1533-position model. The record is from RNAcentral.
GACGAACGCUGGCGGCGUGCUUAACACAUGCAAGUCGAACGGAAAGGCUCCAGCUUGCUGGAGUACUCGAGUGGCGAACGGGUGAGUAACACGUGGGUAAUCUGCCCUGCACUCUGGGAUAAGCCUUGGAAACUGGGUCUAAUACUGGAUAUGACCUUUCUCCUUAUGGGGUUUGGUGGAAAGUUUUUCGGUGUAGGAUGAGCCCGCGGCCUAUCAGCUUGUUGGUGGGGUGAUGGCCUACCAAGGCGACGACGGGUAGCCGGCCUGAGAGGGUGAUCGGCCACAUUGGGACUGAGAUACGGCCCAGACUCCUACGGGAGGCAGCAGUGGGGAAUAUUGCACAAUGGGCGGAAGCCUGAUGCAGCGACGCCGCGUGAGGGAUGACGGCCUUCGGGUUGUAAACCUCUUUCAGCAGGGACGAAGCGUAAGUGACGGUACCUGCAGAAGAAGCACCGGCUAACUAUGUG